Molecule: ribosomal RNA, 823 nt
Filed under: Bacillus pumilus
Lineage: Bacteria; Bacillati; Bacillota; Bacilli; Caryophanales; Bacillaceae
Description: bacterial SSU rRNA
Rfam family: Bacterial small subunit ribosomal RNA
Source: RNAcentral
AGUAGGGAAUCUUCCGCAAUGGACGAAAGUCUGACGGAGCAACGCCGCGUGAGUGAUGAAGGUUUUCGGAUCGUAAAGCUCUGUUGUUAGGGAAGAACAAGUGCGAGAGUAACUGCUCGCACCUUGACGGUACCCUAACCAGAAAGCCACGGCUAACUACGUGCCAGCAGCCGCGGUAAUACGUAGGUGGCAAGCGUUGUCCGGAAUUAUUGGGCGUAAAGGGCUCGCAGGCGGUUUCUUAAGUCUGAUGUGAAAGCCCCCCGGCUCAACCGGGGAGGGUCAUUGGAAACUGGGAAACUUGAGUGCAGAAGAGGAGAGUGGAAUUCCACGUGUAGCGGUGAAAUGCGUAGAGAUGUGGAGGAACACCAGUGGCGAAGGCGACUCUCUGGUCUGUAACUGACGCUGAGGAGCGAAAGCGUGGGGAGCGAACAGGAUUAGAUACCCUGGUAGUCCACGCCGUAAACGAUGAGUGCUAAGUGUUAGGGGGUUUCCGCCCCUUAGUGCUGCAGCUAACGCAUUAAGCACUCCGCCUGGGGAGUACGGUCGCAAGACUGAAACUCAAAGGAAUUGACGGGGGCCCGCACAAGCGGUGGAGCAUGUGGUUUAAUUCGAAGCAACGCGAAGAACCUUACCAGGUCUUGACAUCCUCUGACAACCCUAGAGAUAGGGCUUUCCCUUCGGGGACAGAGUGACAGGUGGUGCAUGGUUGUCGUCAGCUCGUGUCGUGAGAUGUUGGGUUAAGUCCCGCAACGAGCGCAACCCUUGAUCUUAGUUGCCAGCAUUUAGUUGGGCACUCUAAGGUGACUGCCGGUGACAAACCGGA